Molecule: ribosomal RNA, 253 nt
Filed under: uncultured bacterium
Lineage: Bacteria
Description: partial 16S ribosomal RNA
Rfam family: Bacterial small subunit ribosomal RNA
Source: RNAcentral
UACGGAGGGUGCGAGCGUUAAUCGGAAUUACUGGGCGUAAAGCGCGCGUAGGCGGCGCGGUAAGCGAGAUGUGAAAGCCCCGGGCUCAACCUGGGAACGGCAUUUCGAACUGUCGCGCUAGAGUGUGGUAGAGGGGUGUGGAAUUUCCUGUGUAGCGGUGAAAUGCGUAGAUAUAGGAAGGAACACCAGUGGCGAAGGCGGCACCCUGGACCAACACUGACGCUGAGGUGCGAAAGCGUGGGGAGCAAACAGG